GUUCAAAGAAAUAAUUUGGUCAAUUUGGAAACUACCUUUAGCCUUCUUCCUACCACCACCAAAGCUUCCAGCUCAACUCAGAAUAUUUGUCUAACCAUAUCUCCUCACCCAGCUUCUACCUAUGCAAUCCCUCCACAAAUGCCAUCAGUAUACACCAUCAAUCCCAAUAACUUUCAAGUCACCAUGAUGCCAAAUAUCCAUCCUCCCGCAAUUGUAUUUCCUUUAAAUGAAAACAAGCAUGACCAAUUAGCC
RNAcentral lists this long non-coding RNA (252 nucleotides) under Solanum tuberosum (potato). RNAcentral's name for it is "long non-coding RNA (STUB_LNC000681)". Lineage: Eukaryota; Viridiplantae; Streptophyta; Magnoliopsida; Solanales; Solanaceae. The record is from RNAcentral.